This 324-nucleotide ribosomal RNA is filed under the name uncultured eukaryote. Its description in RNAcentral is "partial 18S ribosomal RNA". It matches the Rfam family "Eukaryotic small subunit ribosomal RNA", at positions 1470 to 1796 of the family's 1831-position model. The record is from RNAcentral.
CCCUUAGAUGUUCUGGGCUGCACGCGCGCUACACUGAUGCGAUCAACAAGUUUUUCCUAUGUCGAUAGACACGGGUAAUCUUUUGAACUCGCAUCGUGAUGGGGAUAGAUUAUUGUAAUUAUUAAUCUUCAACGAGGAAUUCCUAGUAGGUGCAAACCAUCAGUUUGCAUCGAUUACGUCCCUGCCCUUUGUACACACCGCCCGUCGCUGCUACCGAUUGGUUGAUCUGGUGAAUUAUUCGGACUGCCGGCUGAAGGGGUUUCCUCAUCUGCCAGCGGAAAGUCUUGUUAACCCUAUCAACUAGAGGAAGCAGAAGUCGUAACA